Syngnathoides biaculeatus (alligator pipefish) is the source of this 386-nucleotide long non-coding RNA. RefSeq lists it as uncharacterized. The record is from RefSeq and is a predicted model, not a curated record. NCBI's taxonomy places the organism in Eukaryota, Metazoa, Chordata, Actinopteri, Syngnathiformes, Syngnathidae. The transcript is spliced from 3 exons.
GUUGAUUUGCCAUACUUACCUGGGUGAUCACACAGAGAGGAGGUUAUGUGGAGCAGAGCAGAGAAGCAGAGCAGAUCCCAACACACUACCGCCCAUCGAGGAGGGAGAAGACACACUGAAGUCUGUCGACAGCCAGGAGCAUUUAGCUGUUCCUGAAGAAAAGCCCUGGUUGGACAUGAAUUCGUGGCCAGGCCGGUGCCAGAGUCCAAUCUCCCCUCGGUGGACGAAGAUUGACGGGAUCACGAACAACUGCUGUCCAGAAAACGCUUGAACCGAAUCGCUGAGGAUGUACGCCUGCCUUUGGUGUGGGCAGUGUGGACCAAUUCCCGCUCAGUGAUGGUGUCUAUCUGCUCUGUGACUGGCGAUCUGUUCAGGGUGUUGUCCGC